UGGACAGACACCAUGGUCUCCUCCUACCACGGCAUGGCAACAGCUUUGUAACUCCUUGGAGUCUUUAGUAAUUGGGUCACCAGAUUGGCUAUCACAGAUGACUGAGCUUGGUCUUUCUGUCCCCCAGACACACACAUCACAUACCUCACGUCUACCGCCCCCUCCCUCAGCGAGGACCAUCGAGCACAUGAGUUCCACUUGGACGGAAAAGCAACGCUAGCAUUGCAGCGCCGUGGGUUCAUGGCACAGCCCUGAGGCUGAUUAUGGUUGCUUUGAACAGGAGGCUGCCACCCCAGCGACAAAGUGACGCCCACGUCUUAACAGGAACGAGCAAAAUGAAGUUCUCUGCUGUUCACAUCAAGGCCAGUGUCAUCGGUGCUGCAUGCAGAUGGAUGCACCUUUCAAAUAGAGGCUCCAGGGGCGAUUCAAGACGUGCUAAUGUCUCUGUGAGGACGGAUGGCUCCCCUCACCCGGUCGCGGCUGAUAUUGAUAACUUGAAGGCAGCGGAGUUCCAGGCACCAGUUGCUGUAUCAGGCAAUCCACAACACACAGGAAGCACCCACAUACCUGUGCAAGAUUGAUUCCAGUACCUGGCAAGUGGAUGUUAAGCUGUGAGUGGAGAGGUUUGCAUUAUUUUGAAGUGUAAUCAGCUAGUGAGU
RNAcentral lists this long non-coding RNA (659 nucleotides) under Bos indicus x Bos taurus (hybrid cattle). RNAcentral describes it as "lncRNA (ENSBIXG00000010932.1)". The record is from RNAcentral. Lineage: Eukaryota; Metazoa; Chordata; Mammalia; Artiodactyla; Bovidae.